AUGGACACUCACUCCUGGUUCCUUCUUCCAGUCAAUAAAAACCGAUAUCUCGCCUUACGUCUCAGUACAGAAGAGAAGCCUCAAGCCCACAGGUCGGAGGUGACGGUUCUCUCCACUGACAUUGAAUGGGGAAGAAACAAUUUUCGUGGAAUGUUGCAGUUUGGGGUAGCGUGCUCCUUCCUUCUGAUUGCCUGCAGUUCACCCUUGGGCAAGCACAUGGAGAUCUGAUGGUGGAAGGGAAGAAGCUGUUCCUGAACUGCUGAGUGUGUGCCUUCAGGCUUCUGUACCUCCUCCCUGAUGGUAGCAAUGAGAAGAGGGGAUGUGUCAGAUGGUGGAGCUCCUCAAUGAUGGAUGCCACUUUGUUAAAGCAUCUCCUUUUCAAGGAGUCCUCAGAUUCGGGGGGGGGGGGGCUCAUGCCCAUGAAUGAGAUUAUCAUCCUCUCCAGUCUUUUCCAAUCCUGUGCAUUGAUUCUGCCA
Molecule: long non-coding RNA, 476 nt
Organism: Hypanus sabinus (Atlantic stingray)
Lineage: Eukaryota; Metazoa; Chordata; Chondrichthyes; Myliobatiformes; Dasyatidae
Exons: 3
Source: RefSeq, a predicted model, not a curated record